RNAcentral lists this ribosomal RNA (497 nucleotides) under uncultured bacterium. RNAcentral's name for it is "partial 16S ribosomal RNA". It matches the Rfam family "Bacterial small subunit ribosomal RNA", at positions 28 to 507 of the family's 1533-position model. The record is from RNAcentral.
GAUGAACGCUGGCGGCGUGCCUAAUACAUGCAAGUCGAGCGAACAGGCGAGGAGCUUGCUCCUCUGACGUUAGCGGCGGACGGGUGAGUAACACGUGGAUAACCUACCUAUAAGACUGGGAUAACUUCGGGAAACCGGAGCUAAUACCGGAUAAUAUAUUGAACCGCAUGGUUCAAUAGUGAAAGACGGUUUUGCUGUCACUUAUAGAUGGAUCCGCGCCGCAUUAGCUAGUUGGUAAGGUAACGGCUUACCAAGGCAACGAUGCGUAGCCGACCUGAGAGGGUGAUCGGCCACACUAGAACUGGGACACGGUCCAGACUCCUACGGGAGGCAGCAGUAGGGAAUCUUCCGCAGUGGGCGAAAGCUUGACGGAGCAACGCCGCGUGAGUGAUGAAGGUCUUCGGAUCGUAAAACUCUGUUAUUAGGGAAGAACAAAUGUGUAAGUAACUAUGCACGUCUUGACGGUACCUAAUCAGAAAGCCACGGCUAACUACGUG